RNAcentral lists this small nuclear RNA (159 nucleotides) under Erpetoichthys calabaricus (reedfish). Its description in RNAcentral is "U2 spliceosomal RNA (ENSECRG00000012578.1)". It matches the Rfam family "U2 spliceosomal RNA". Rfam says of the family: U2 is a small nuclear RNA (snRNA) component of the spliceosome (involved in pre-mRNA splicing). Complementary binding between U2 snRNA (in an area lying towards the 5' end but 3' to hairpin I) and the branchpoint sequence (BPS) of the intron results the bulging out of an unpaired adenosine, on the BPS, which initiates a nucleophilic attack at the intronic 5' splice site, thus starting the first of two transesterification reactions that mediate splicing. Lineage: Eukaryota; Metazoa; Chordata; Cladistia; Polypteriformes; Polypteridae. The record is from Rfam by way of RNAcentral.
AUCGCUUCUCGGCCUUUUGGCUAAGAUCAAGUGUAGUAUCUGUUCCUCCAGGUUGAGGAUACCGAAGCCGGCAAACCCGAAGACCCGCCUGACCGAGGCGACGACUAGGGGUGCCUGGAACACACCAAUGUAUCUUACUCCCCAUGAUGGCUACCUUUU